ACAUAGGGUCCAAAGCCAUUG
Molecule: microRNA, 21 nt
Filed under: Salmo salar (Atlantic salmon)
Lineage: Eukaryota; Metazoa; Chordata; Actinopteri; Salmoniformes; Salmonidae
Description: ssa-miR-135b-3-3p
Gene: ssa-miR-135b-3-3p
Source: miRBase by way of RNAcentral